UUUCCGUAGGUGAACCUGCGGAAGGAUCAUUAAUGAGUUGUCAUGGGGUUCGAUGCUGGCAGCCAAUUUUUGGAUGCAUGUGCUUGCCCUAACAAUCAUCUUCCAAACACCUGUGCACAUUUUAGAGGGAGUCUUGAGUUGGUUGCCGCUCUUGGGUGAUUUUCUCACAUUCCCUUAAAUCAUUAUACGCUAUUAACAAUGUUGAACGUGCUCUGUGCCGCAAGGCUAUUAAUAUAAUACAACUUUUAACAACGGAUCUCUUGGCUCUC
This 269-nucleotide unclassified non-coding RNA is filed under the name plant metagenome. RNAcentral describes it as "partial contains small subunit ribosomal RNA, internal transcribed spacer 1, and 5.8S ribosomal RNA". The record is from RNAcentral.